This 1268-nucleotide ribosomal RNA is filed under the name Bacillus amyloliquefaciens. Its description in RNAcentral is "bacterial SSU rRNA". It matches the Rfam family "Bacterial small subunit ribosomal RNA", at positions 111 to 1365 of the family's 1533-position model. The record is from RNAcentral. Lineage: Bacteria; Bacillati; Bacillota; Bacilli; Caryophanales; Bacillaceae.
UAACACGUGGGUAACCUGCCUGUAAGACUGGGAUAACUCCGGGAAACCGGGGCUAAUACCGGAUGGUUGUCUGAACCGCAUGGUUCAGACAUAAAAGGUGGCUUCGGCUACCACUUACAGAUGGACCCGCGGCGCAUUAGCUAGUUGGUGAGGUAACGGCUCACCAAGGCGACGAUGCGUAGCCGACCUGAGAGGGUGAUCGGCCACACUGGGACUGAGACACGGCCCAGACUCCUACGGGAGGCAGCAGUAGGGAAUCUUCCGCAAUGGACGAAAGUCUGACGGAGCAACGCCGCGUGAGUGAUGAAGGUUUUCGGAUCGUAAAGCUCUGUUGUUAGGGAAGAACAAGUGCCGUUCAAAUAGGGCGGCACCUUGACGGUACCUAACCAGAAAGCCACGGCUAACUACGUGCCAGCAGCCGCGGUAAUACGUAGGUGGCAAGCGUUGUCCGGAAUUAUUGGGCGUAAAGGGAUCGCAGGCGGUUUCUUAAGUCUGAUGUGAAAGCCCCCGGCUCAACCGGGGAGGGUCAUUGGAAACUGGGGAACUUGAGUGCAGAAGAGGAGAGUGGAAUUCCACGUGUAGCGGUGAAAUGCGUAGAGAUGUGGAGGAACACCAGUGGCGAAGGCGACUCUCUGGUCUGUAACUGACGCUGAGGAGCGAAAGCGUGGGGAGCGAACAGGAUUAGAUACCCUGGUAGUCCACGCCGUAAACGAUGAGUGCUAAGUGUUAGGGGGUUUCCGCCCCUUAGUGCUGCAGCUAACGCAUUAAGCACUCCGCCUGGGGAGUACGGUCGCAAGACUGAAACUCAAAGGAAUUGACGGGGGCCCGCACAAGCGGUGGAGCAUGUGGUUUAAUUCGAAGCAACGCGAAGAACCUUACCAGGUCUUGACAUCCUCUGACAAUCCUAGAGAUAGGACGUCCCCUUCGGGGGCAGAGUGACAGGUGGUGCAUGGUUGUCGUCAGCUCGUGUCGUGAGAUGUUGGGUUAAGUCCCGCAACGAGCGCAACCCUUGAUCUUAGUUGCCAGCAUUCAGUUGGGCACUCUAAGGUGACUGCCGGUGACAAACCGGAGGAAGGUGGGGAUGACGUCAAAUCAUCAUGCCCCUUAUGACCUGGGCUACACACGUGCUACAAUGGACAGAACAAAGGGCAGCGAAACCGCGAGGUUAAGCCAAUCCCACAAAUCUGUUCUCAGUUCGGAUCGCAGUCUGCAACUCGACUGCGUGAAGCUGGAAUCGCUAGUAAUCGCGGAUCAGCAUGCCGCGGUGA